AUUGAACGCUGGCGGCAGGCUUAACACAUGCAAGUCGAGCGGGGGAAGGUAGCUUGCUACUGGACCUAGCGGCGGACGGGUGAGUAAUGCUUAGGAAUCUGCCUAUUAGUGGGGGACAACAUCUCGAAAGGGAUGCUAAUACCGCAUACGUCCUACGGGAGAAAGCAGGGGAUCUUCGGACCUUGCGCUAAUAGAUGAGCCUAAGUCGGAUUAGCUAGUUGGUGGGGUAAAGGCCUACCAAGGCGACGAUCUGCAGCGGGUCUGAGAGGAUGAUCCGCCACACGGGGACUGAGACACGGCCCAGACUCCUACGGGAGGCAGCAGUGGGGAAUAUUGGACAAUGGGGGGAACCCUGAUCCAGCCAUGCCGCGUGUGUGAAGAAGGCCUUAUGGUUGUAAAGCACUUUAAGCGAGGAGGAGGCUACUUUAGUUAAUACCUAGAGAUAGUGGACGUUACUCGCAGAAUAAGCACCGGCUAACUCUGUGCCAGCCGCCGCCGUAA
RNAcentral lists this ribosomal RNA (501 nucleotides) under uncultured bacterium. RNAcentral's name for it is "partial 16S ribosomal RNA". It matches the Rfam family "Bacterial small subunit ribosomal RNA", at positions 30 to 523 of the family's 1533-position model. The record is from RNAcentral.